GACGAACGCUGGCGGCGUGCUUAACACAUGCAAGUCGAACGGUGAAGCGCCUUCCUUUUUGGUGGGUGUGGAUGAGUGGCGAACGGGUGAGUAACACGUGAGUAACCUGCCCCCUUCUUCUGGAUAACCGCAUGAAAGUGUGGCUAAUACGGGAUAUUCUGGGUCUGUCGCAUGAUGGGUCUGGGAAAGAUAUUGUUUCGGUGGGGGAUGGGCUCGCGGCCUAUCAGCUUGUUGGUGGGGUGAUGGCCUACCAAGGCGGUGACGGGUAGCCGGCCUGAGAGGGUGGACGGUCACACUGGGACUGAGACACGGCCCAGACUCCUACGGGAGGCACCAGUGGGUAUAUUGCACAAUGGGCGCAAGCCUGAUGCAGCGACGCCGCGUGAGGGAUGGAGGCCUUCGGGUUGUGAACCUCUUUCGCCAGUGAAGCAGGCCUGCCUCGUUUGUGGGUGGGUUGACGGUAGCUGGAUAAGAAGCGCCGGCUAACUACGUG
This 493-nucleotide ribosomal RNA is filed under the name uncultured bacterium. Its description in RNAcentral is "partial 16S ribosomal RNA". It matches the Rfam family "Bacterial small subunit ribosomal RNA", at positions 28 to 507 of the family's 1533-position model. The record is from RNAcentral.